GGCAGUGGGUUGGGAGGUAAAGAGUAAGACAGUGAGGGACAAUAGCUCUUUCAGUAAGUUCAAUGGUGGAGGAAAGAGCAUGGGGUGGAUUGUUCUGGGGUCAGAACCUUAAACCCUGCUUAGAUGGAAAGGAAGGAGCUUGUAGAAAGCAGUACAGGAGAGGGAGAGAAUAACCCAUGCAUAUGUAGGCUCUCUUUUAUGUUUUGGAUCUACUGUACACAUCCUUUUCAUCCUUGUGUCCCCUAGUCCAGUUUGUUGAGCCAGUAUCUUCCAUCAAACGGGUGUUCAGUAAAUGAAUUGAACGAUGUCACAUA
This 314-nucleotide long non-coding RNA is filed under the name Bos taurus (domestic cattle). RNAcentral's name for it is "long non-coding RNA NONBTAT014114". Lineage: Eukaryota; Metazoa; Chordata; Mammalia; Artiodactyla; Bovidae. The record is from RNAcentral.